ACACAUAUAUUUUAUUUUUCAAAAUUAAAUAUUAUUUAAUUCUUACUAAUAAAUCCUUUUUCAAUGGAAGAUUUUUAUCUUUUAUCCUUAAAUUUUAUUUAAAGUAAUCCACAAUAUCUUAAUUGUAGUCUACACCUUUACCUAACUUAUUAGUUGUCUUUUGUGAAUGAAAUUAGAAAAAUUUAUUCUAAAGAUGGAGGUAUAUAAAAUUUUAAAAAAAGUAAAAAUUAGCGUGGAUUAUCGAUUAAAUAGCAGAUU
This 258-nucleotide ribosomal RNA is filed under the name Indoetra thisbe. Its description in RNAcentral is "Clitaetra thisbe partial 12S ribosomal RNA". The record is from RNAcentral. Lineage: Eukaryota; Metazoa; Arthropoda; Arachnida; Araneae; Nephilidae.